This 253-nucleotide ribosomal RNA is filed under the name uncultured bacterium. RNAcentral's name for it is "partial 16S ribosomal RNA". It matches the Rfam family "Bacterial small subunit ribosomal RNA", at positions 524 to 776 of the family's 1533-position model. The record is from RNAcentral.
GACGGAGGAUGCAAGUGUUAUCCUGAAUCACUGGGCUUAAAGCGUCUGUAGGUGGUCAAAUAAGUCAACUGUUAAAUCUUGAGGCUCAACCUCAAAAUCGCAGUCGAAACUAUUAGACUAGAGUAUAGUAGGGGUAAAGGGAAUUUCCAGUGGAGCGGUGAAAUGCGUAGAGAUUGGAAAGAACACCGAUGGCGAAGGCACUUUACUGGGCUAUUACUAACACUCAGAGACGAAAGCUAGGGUAGCAAAUGGG